This is a long non-coding RNA of Cervus elaphus (red deer), 216 nucleotides long. RefSeq lists it as uncharacterized. NCBI's taxonomy places the organism in Eukaryota, Metazoa, Chordata, Mammalia, Artiodactyla, Cervidae. The transcript is spliced from 3 exons. The record is from RefSeq and is a predicted model, not a curated record.
AGAAGCUGCGUGUUCCAUGUGGUACACGUGUAAGCUAGUGGAGCCUCACUGACCACAGUACGUUUGCAGGUGAUAGAUGUGAAUUCUCAUUAAGAGGGAGAUUGGAGACAGGAAAAAUCUGAAUUCCUCACUCACAACCCAAGUCUGAUCUUGGCUGACUUGACUCCUGUUCCAAAUGUCCACAAAGACUAUCACAGACACAGAGAGACCAGCCCC